Non-coding RNA from Rattus norvegicus (Norway rat), 1829 nucleotides. The record is from RefSeq and is a predicted model, not a curated record. Lineage: Eukaryota; Metazoa; Chordata; Mammalia; Rodentia; Muridae.
CCACCCUGAAGAGGAAAACAGGAAAGCAUUCAGUUGGGGAGUAAUGAAUUAUGACCUAUCCCUAGGCCAAAGCAAUGAGCAUAUACUAGGUCUUACUCAGGUCAGACCUCCGCAGAGCAGACAACCCAGUCUUGUCCUCACAUGCAGAGGUAGAGCGAGCAUUCCCUCCCUGGAUGCCAUAUUUCUAUACUGUUCUUGUUCCCUUCCAGACUUUUCCAUAUCAGGAUAAGUUGAUUCCUGAGCCAUGAAAUUCAGCGCACACAAAAUAGGGAAGUAGUACAUACAAAAGGCUGGUAGACUUUAAUCUCUGGAGUAACUCUGUAACACAGUGUAAAUAUCAUGUAACUAGUUCAUACAUUGUACUACUUAGGAAUGAGGACCAGAAUCUGAGAGGCAGGGAAUGUGGCUCAGAGAUAAGAAUAUUUGCUUAUCAUGAAUUAAGUCUUAGGCCCAAUCCCAGGCCUGCACAAAGAAUUGGUACAUGUUCGAUGCAUAUGUUGGUCUUUUUUAACGAUUUAUUUUUAUCUUGUGUGCAUUGGUAUUUUGCCUGCAUGAGCGUCUGUGUGAGGGUGUCAGAUCCACUGGGACUGGAGUUACAGUUGUGCAGGGUGAUGUGGGUGCUGAGGAUCGAACCCGGGGCCUCCAGAAGAGCAGCCAGUGCUCUUAACCACCGAGCCAUCACUCCAGCCUCGAGGUGAGUACAGCUGACGGAGGAGCUGCAGAACAGGAGCAGCUAGUCCAGAGCCACCUCCCUUGGAGCUCCCAAGUCGGGACACUAGAACCCAGAACCUCAGGCCCGUCUGGAGGGCGGGGUCCGUGCAGGAGCCACACAAGUCACUGGUUGUACCAGCUGGUUUCCUCUGCUCUCUGUCUUCUCUCGGACUAAAGGACCUGAGAAUAUCAGCCUUCUUCCCUCCUACACAGUGUUAAGCCAGAGCCCUAGGCAUGUCCUGGCCUGCUUCCCUACUUCCAACAAGGAGUGUCAUCAGUCACAAUGGCAGCAGUAGUGACAGCUUCCCCCCCAAGCCCCGCCCUUCGAAAAAGCUCCCAGCAAUGCCAGCGCCUAUGGGCAAAGGAACUUCUGAACGAGGCGGCCUGGCUGGUGUCUGUUCACACAUGUCGUCCCGGAGGUCAGAGGUGCUGAAUGCCUGCCUAAGGCUCACAUGGGGACCUGUGAGGACCUCGAGGCUUCUACCGCGUGUCUAGCCAGGGAAGAGAAGAAUCGCCAGCUGCUAUUCGAGUACGGACAGGGGCACGAGGGAGCCUGUUACUCCCCAAGCUGAGCCUGAGGCUCUGGGUAAAGAGCAGCUGGUCCCUCACAUCACUUCCUUCAGUCACAGUCAAGCAAGAGACUCCUAGGAGGAGAGCUGAGCUGGGAGCGGAAGAACGGAGGCCACAAGUCCUAACCUGACAAGCAAGAUUUGGGUCAGGACAAAGGAAACAGUCUCACCUUGGGGCUCUAAAGCACCAGAAGCUCACCAGACUGGACACACUGCAGUCAUUCGGCUGCCUCUGGUUCUGAGGUGCCCCACAGACCCAUCUCUGGGUUAGGGUUCAGUUACUAGGCUACAAGAAUGAUUCAGCACUCUUGACCGGUGACAGACACCGAAGGCACUGUGAGGGCACAACUGGAUUUCAGUCUAAACACCCAUGAGCAUGUGGCCCCGGACCCAUCAGUCACUGGCUACCCAUAGCAACAGCCAAUCCCUAAGGAUGCCUAACAAGCUAGAAGAAAGUGUAUCCCUGUAGAGCCUUUGGCUUACUACACUUUUCCCUGAAGAUAAUAUUUGAGUUUGAAUAAACCCUUGGAUUACGAUCAAGCAGAGAAA